Molecule: long non-coding RNA, 236 nt
Filed under: Medicago truncatula (barrel medic)
Lineage: Eukaryota; Viridiplantae; Streptophyta; Magnoliopsida; Fabales; Fabaceae
Description: long non-coding RNA (MTRU_LNC000644)
Source: RNAcentral
UGAGGGGGAGUACAUCAUUAUAGUGACAUGCACAUACAACUCAUAUAGAUGUAGCAACCAUGUCAUCUUUUUUACUUUAUUAAACUAGUUACAAACCCGUGCGAUCAAUAACGUAUUCGAUAAAAAAAAUCUUUGAAAGAAGAGAUGUUAAAACGACGGAACAUUGUGAUUCAUCAUAAAAUAUGUAUGGACUGAUUAAGAGAGCAUAUAAUCAGUUUAUGAGAUUAGAAAUUGAC